Molecule: ribosomal RNA, 253 nt
Filed under: uncultured bacterium
Lineage: Bacteria
Description: partial 16S ribosomal RNA
Rfam family: Bacterial small subunit ribosomal RNA
Source: RNAcentral
UACGGAGGGGGCUAGCGUUGUUCGGAAUUACUGGGCGUAAAGCGCUCGUAGGCGGCUUUGUACGUUAGAGGUGAAAGCCCGGAGCUCAACUCCGGAAUUGCCUUUAAGACUGCAUCGCUCGAAUCAUGGAGAGGUGAGUGGAAUUCCGAGUGUAGAGGUGAAAUUCGUAGAUAUUCGGAAGAACACCAGUGGCGAAGGCGACUCGCUGGACAUGUAUUGACGCUGAGGUGCGAAAGCGUGGGGAGCAAACAGG